CGUACACUCCUGCGGGAGGCAGCAGUGGGGAAUAUUGCACAAUGGGCGCAAGCCUGAUGCAGCCAUGCCGCGUGUAUGAAGAAGGCCUUCGGGUUGUAAAGUACUUUCAGCGGGGAGGAAGGCGAUAAGGUUAAUAACCUUGUUGAUUGACGUUACCCACAGAAGAAGCACCGGCUAACUCCGUGCCAGCAGCCGCGGUAAUACGGAGGGUGCAAGCGUUAAUCGGAAUUACUAGGCGUAAAGCGCACGCAGGCGGUCUGUCAAGUCGGAUGUGAAAUCCCCGGGCUCAACCUGGGAACUGCAUUCGAAACUGGCAGGCUAGAGUCUUGUAGAGGGGGGUAGAAUUCCAGGUGUAGCGGUGAAAUGCGUAGAGAUCUGGAGGAAUACCGGUGGCGAAGGCGGCCCCCUGGACAAAGACUGACGCUCAGGUGCGAAAGCGUGGGGAGCAAACAGGAUUAGAUACCCUUGUAGUCCCAUG
RNAcentral lists this ribosomal RNA (478 nucleotides) under uncultured organism. RNAcentral's name for it is "partial 16S ribosomal RNA". It matches the Rfam family "Bacterial small subunit ribosomal RNA", at positions 330 to 799 of the family's 1533-position model. The record is from RNAcentral.